RNAcentral lists this ribosomal RNA (1008 nucleotides) under Escherichia coli. RNAcentral's name for it is "partial 23S ribosomal RNA". It matches the Rfam family "Bacterial large subunit ribosomal RNA", at positions 504 to 1516 of the family's 2925-position model. The record is from RNAcentral. Lineage: Bacteria; Pseudomonadati; Pseudomonadota; Gammaproteobacteria; Enterobacterales; Enterobacteriaceae.
UGAGGGAAAGGCGAAAAGAACCCCGGCGAGGGGAGUGAAAAAGAACCUGAAACCGUGUACGUACAAGCAGUGGGAGCACGCUUAGGCGUGUGACUGCGUACCUUUUGUAUAAUGGGUCAGCGACUUAUAUUCUGUAGCAAGGUUAACCGAAUAGGGGAGCCGAAGGGAAACCGAGUCUUAACUGGGCGUUAAGUUGCAGGGUAUAGACCCGAAACCCGGUGAUCUAGCCAUGGGCAGGUUGAAGGUUGGGUAACACUAACUGGAGGACCGAACCGACUAAUGUUGAAAAAUUAGCGGAUGACUUGUGGCUGGGGGUGAAAGGCCAAUCAAACCGGGAGAUAGCUGGUUCUCCCCGAAAGCUAUUUAGGUAGCGCCUCGUGAAUUCAUCUCCGGGGGUAGAGCACUGUUUCGGCAAGGGGGUCAUCCCGACUUACCAACCCGAUGCAAACUGCGAAUACCGGAGAAUGUUAUCACGGGAGACACACGGCGGGUGCUAACGUCCGUCGUGAAGAGGGAAACAACCCAGACCGCCAGCUAAGGUCCCAAAGUCAUGGUUAAGUGGGAAACGAUGUGGGAAGGCCCAGACAGCCAGGAUGUUGGCUUAGAAGCAGCCAUCAUUUAAAGAAAGCGUAAUAGCUCACUGGUCGAGUCGGCCUGCGCGGAAGAUGUAACGGGGCUAAACCAUGCACCGAAGCUGCGGCAGCGACGCUGAUGCGUUGUUGGGUAGGGGAGCGUUCUGUAAGCCUGUGAAGGUGUGCUGUGAGGCAUGCUGGAGGUAUCAGAAGUGCGAAUGCUGACAUAAGUAACGAUAAAGCGGGUGAAAAGCCCGCUCGCCGGAAGACCAAGGGUUCCUGUCCAACGUUAAUCGGGGCAGGGUGAGUCGACCCCUAAGGCGAGGCCGAAAGGCGUAGUCGAUGGGAAACAGGUUAAUAUUCCUGUACUUGGUGUUACUGCGAAGGGGGGACGGAGAAGGCUAUGUUGGCCGGGCGACGGUUGUCCCGGUUUAAG